GUUUGGACUUAUCAUUUGAAUUGUGAUUUCAGGUUCAAGAAUACAUCUCCAUGAGUGAUGAUGCUCCUUCAUUUGAGCUUAACCAUUUGUUGUUGUUGGCUAACAAUUGUGUGUUUUGUAGGCCUUAAUGGGGGAUUCACUUGUGUUCAUGGAUCGCUCAUUGUUGUCUGAUUGGAUUUGUCUGUUUGUGUGAUAUUGACUGUUGAUUGUUUGUUUGAAUUGUGUACUGACUGGUUAGCUAUUUACACAGGUACUUUAGUUGCUCAGUUCCUUGUGA
RNAcentral lists this long non-coding RNA (277 nucleotides) under Lathyrus oleraceus (garden pea). Its description in RNAcentral is "Pisum sativum (pea) long non-coding RNA (PSAT_LNC037054)". Lineage: Eukaryota; Viridiplantae; Streptophyta; Magnoliopsida; Fabales; Fabaceae. The record is from RNAcentral.